RNAcentral lists this ribosomal RNA (253 nucleotides) under uncultured bacterium. RNAcentral describes it as "partial 16S ribosomal RNA". It matches the Rfam family "Bacterial small subunit ribosomal RNA", at positions 524 to 776 of the family's 1533-position model. The record is from RNAcentral.
UACGUAGGGUGCAAGCAUUAAUCGGAGUUAUUGGGCGUAAAGGGCGCGUAGGCGGAUAUAUAAGUCAGGUGUGAAAUACCAAGGCUCAACCUUGGUGCUGCAUUUGAAACUGUAUGUCUAGAGGAUUGGCGGAGAAAGCGGAAUUCCACGUGUAGCGGUGAAAUGCGUAGAUACGUGGAGGAACACCGGUGGCGAAAGCGGCUUUCUAGCUUUUACCUGACGCUGAGGCGCGAGAGCAAGGGGAGCAAACAGG